GUGUCAGCCGCCGCGGUAAUACGGAGGAUCCAAGCGUUAUCCGGAUUCAUUGGGUUUAAAGGGUGCGUAGGUGGAAUGGUAAGUCAGUGGUGAAAUCCUGCGGCUUAACUGCAGAACUGCCAUUGAUACUGCCAAUCUUGAGUACAUAUGAAGUGGGCGGAAUGUGUCAUGUAGCGGUGAAAUGCUUAGAUAUGACACAGAACACCGAUUGCGAAGGCAGCUCACUAAACUGUAACUGACACUGAGGCACGAAAGCGUGGGGAUCAAACAGGAUUAGAUACCCUGGUAGUCCACGCCGUAAACGUUGAUUACUAGAUGUGUGCGAUACACUGCACGCGUCUUAGCGAAAGUGAUAAGUAAUCCACCUGGGGAGUACGGUCGCAAGACUGAA
Molecule: ribosomal RNA, 391 nt
Filed under: uncultured bacterium
Lineage: Bacteria
Description: bacterial SSU rRNA
Rfam family: Bacterial small subunit ribosomal RNA
Source: RNAcentral